This is a long non-coding RNA of Ictalurus punctatus (channel catfish), 4896 nucleotides long. The record is from Ensembl. Lineage: Eukaryota; Metazoa; Chordata; Actinopteri; Siluriformes; Ictaluridae.
GGGGUAUAAAUAGGGGCUAGGGAAGGCAGAGGAAAGGAGGGAGGACGAGUUUCGAGGCCCUUAUUUAGACUACGAUAAAGAUCACUAUAUAACUUUUUCUUUAACUGUCUUAUUUAUCUCAUUUGUUUAUUUUAAUCGUUGGAACAUAUCCUAUACUGCUCCGUCUCCAUCCCAAGACAAUGACAUGCUGCUAAAAACAAACCGAAAAACAACCACGGACAACACAACAAGGACGAUUAAUACAAUAAAGUAUAAAGUAAAUACCAUUGCUGGUAUAAAAACCACACACACACACAUGUAAACAAUGAGUGUAGAUAAAUAAAAUAAAAUUCGCUUUGGGAAGGUGGUGCUGUUGGAGGCCUUGUCCGUUUCCCCGCCACCACCGCGCCAUCGGCGGGCGCUCUGCGGGAGGGAGGGAGGGGGAGCGCGGAGGAAGGAAGUAGGAAAAUGGGAGGAUGCGGCCGCGCUUUGCGUCAAGGCGCUCAGUGCUACGAGGAAAGGGUCCUCCGCGUAACACGACGACACGAUUUGCCUAUUUAUUUGUUUCUCUAAACCACAAGCAACGCGAGCUAGUUAAAACGUAAGUCACACGACAAGAAAAGAACACGAUAUUUUCUCGCUUUGCUUUUGUAUUGUCUGGCUUUCCCAGGCCGCGGGUUUCUCAGUGGGAGAUCUUAGCUAAAGUGGGUUAGCUUAGCCUUGCUACAACGGCUAGGAAUUGAAGGAGGAAAAAAACCAAAACAAAACCAAAUAACGAUGUUAUAAAUUUUAUUAAUCUGAUCUGCCGUGGUUUGCGAAUUUGUACAGAAUCGCUGUUUUAUUUUAAGAACGUUUAUUGCGCUUUUUUGUUUAUUUAUUUAAUAAAAUCGUUUCUGAAAGCCAUGCGAAUGUAAACAGUUUGCUAGCAAAACAAGCAGCUAGCUUAGCCAGCGCGGAAAAAAAAAGUUGGACGUAAACUAGUCUUAAAACCUGUGAUUCCUUUAGAUUUAAGGUAUGUGGAACGCUUUAAAAACCACUCCUAGACAUAUUUAUAAAACAUAAAGUAUUUAUUCAAACGCGUAUGGUCAACUUAUUGUCAUUUCUUCACUGCUAUCGUAGCCUCAUGUCGAAAUAUGUUGUUUACGACACCUUGUUUACGUUUUAGCUCCUUAAUUUGACGGCAGUGUGACUUUUUGUGAGUCUUAUCAUUUUUUUUAUUGCAAAAACAUUGUGUUUAUAUUAAUAAAAAGGUAACUUCACGUUUUAUGUCUAUAACAGUGUUGUAAUUGCAUGUAAACAAGCUAAAAACAAGCCCAGAAUCGAACACAAUUUGUUUGUACAUUUUUCAGUACUAUAAUUAUGCGUAUUGUUAUUAAUAUUGUAUCAAUAUUAUAAUGAUAUAUCUUGUUAAAUUUAGUGUGAAAACUGUGUGUAGGUUGUUUCCUGGUGGUGGUUGUUGUUGUUGUUGUUGGUUGCAGAUUCCAUGCUUGAGGAUGCAGCUGUAUGGAAAUGACGUAAAGCCAAAAAUAGACGCUAACUAAUAUUCGGCUUUGUUUUGACUUCCGUGGUGCUCUGAGGUUUUAUGUUGGCUUCGAGACGUUCGUUUGUUCGGCUUGAAGCCGUAAUAUCCGCUUAUUAAUCUCACACCAGGUCAUGAACAUGGUGGAGAAGCUCCAUCUUUCAAACGCAGGACUUGUACAGCGGACGCGCCACGUGGACGGAGUAAAAUAACGCGUGUAAUCACAGAUCCGGCGACGCUUCCUGUGCGAAGACUUCCGUUUAACGUUUAUAGAAGGAGUCUCCAGUGUCAGUGGUAAAGCAGUAGGUAACUCUACUGUAACUCCACCACGUCGCUGAAUAUUCCUUGCGUUAAAGCCCGGUUUCCGACCGGUUCGACGCGCUGUCUCGUUUUAUUCUUCCGGAAGACGGAAUCAGACGGAUGAAGAGCGCCGCAUCACCGCUAGAUAGGAAUAGAAGCUUUGUUAGCGGUUUGCGUUGCAAUAAAGCAGCUGUAUUAAUAUACGAUGUGUGUUAUGGAUGUAAGCGUACACUACCGGUCAGAAGUUUAGACGCACUUUCUUUACCUUUAUUCUCCCCCGACAUUUUAGAAUAAUUAAUAAAGUCAUCAAAACUCUGGAGUAACACAAAUGGAACGUGUACAAAUGUGUUCUCGGCGUUUUCUCGAGCGAUUUCUCGAGGAAUUUCCCCGAGAUGAUUUUUUUAAACAGUAUUAAAGGAGUUCACACCGACGCCGGACACUCAGCGGCUGCUUUUCACAAUAUUUCUCCCCGAGUCGUCCGUUUAGAAAUAUCCACUUUUUUUUUUGUCAAUAAAACGUUAGUUUCUAAUGAAAGAAACGAAUAUGUUGGCGCGGUUAUGUUUUUGUCACUGAAUUCAAACAUUUAAUCACACACCUUCAGAUCGAAAGCUUUUUAAGGUCGUGAGAAACAUUUCAGUCGAGCGCGUACAAACUUUUGAGCGGUAGUGUAGGUGCGGUGAUGUCCCAUACAGAACGAGGGGGGGACGAGCUCAAGCUACACGCUGGUGAAAUUCGGACGCGUAUCUGUUGGUUCGAGACUGUCGGAUCGUCGGACCUCGUGCUUGUUCAGUGGUCUGGCCGGAACGUCGACGUGAGAGGAGUUCUGGGGCGUGUUCGCUUCUGUUUCUGGGGGCUGUUAGGACUGUUAGAAAGUUUUCCUGGCCUGCUACGACCCUGCGUUUACGUUUAAAGGUGCGUCGAAACAUUGUUUUUUCAGUCUGAGUACAUGCGUAUGUUUUCAGCUCGUCGAUACUGACGAACGUUUGUAAUUCCAGUCAUUUUUUGUGUGUGUAAUGUUCAGAUUUCUGAAUUUUAUAGUUAAAGGUCAAGGAACACAUCCUGUCCGAUAAAGGAAUUUUUUUUAAAGUCGUCACAGCACACCGAUCAUGCCUAAAUGGAAAUAUGACCAUCACAUUGUGUCUCAACCAGCUGCAGGGGUGUAUACGGGGGUGGUGUAUGCAGGGGUGCCCGGGUGUAUGCAGGGGUGCCGGUGCGCAUACAGGGUCGUGCAGAUUUUAACCACAGAGAAGCGAAUCAUAUUUGCUCAAAUAAUUCCGUAAGCGUUCGCUCAGACGGAAGGGAAUGACACAUGGGCAGUUUUUGUUUUUAUUUCCGGCUGGAGGAGGAACGUGGUUGCGGUCUUUAAGAAAUGAACCCUGCACAUUGUAAGUCUCGUACAUCCGUGCCUAAUUUGCUUUCUCGCUAAUGUCGAUGUGAAAGACCGUACCUGCCCAGGCGUGGGGUUUUCCUCAGGGUUGACCCGCCAGGCCCGUUCCGGAUUCACGCCCAAAUAUAUAACGCUUCGAUAUUUAUCUGGAACGCAGCCGUUUUAAUAGUGUAGCGAGCGUCUCAAAUCGCCACUAAAAUGUCUCCGGGGACGUUUUUUUUGAAAGGUCGUAUAAAAGACGAAGCGGAAUCUCGCUGGAACUUGCGGAUACAGCGUUGUUAUGAUGCGUCACGGGUCCAGAUUACAUUACCGAGACUUGAACAGGAGCAGGGACGGAGACGAACGAUGACCCGAUGGUAGACGGUGAUCAUUUAUUCUCUCUCUCUGUCUGUCUGUGUGUCUGUCGUGUUUGUUCUUGUUUACGGACAGGAAGUGUGUGACGGAUGGAUUUAUCCGAGGUGUCGUGCGGCGUGUAACAAACAGUUCGGCUGCCAGGAUCCUGCUUUGAGUCACGCAGAGCAAAAUUAGCGAAUCGUGACGUUGACUGUCAGGACAGCUGUGUGUGUCUCCUCCGAGCAAUAAAACCUGUCGUGCUGUGUACGUCCCUGACGUCAGCUCCUUUCCUACAACAGUACGUUUAUAGUUACUUUCCGCGAAGCAAAAAACAAGUUCCUGUUCUCAGUUACGCUAUAGCAACUUUCCUUCACCAGCCCCCCCCCCCCCCCACCCCACCAUGAUGAUGAUAGAAGAAACCACAAAGCGGUUACACUGGAGACUCCUUCCAUAAACGUUUCCAUACAGAAAACGUCACCAUGCCGACCGUUUCGCACAUUGUUGUUGUUGUUGUUGUUUAUUUUUCCUUCAAGUCUCUGUGAACGAGCUGUUACUAUAGCGACUACAACAUAUCGGAGCCGUUUAAGAAAAUACUUUCCGACCAAUCAGAAUUCAGCAGCGUGAUCACGCAGCAGUGUCGUAUCACUAAGACAAGAUGACGAGGGACACGCUAGCAAGUGACCAGAUGAGCGAAACGUGACGUGCGGAGCGUAAUGUUUCCUUUUUAAAAACUUUUUUUUUUUUUUUUUUUUUAAAUAUUACAGUAAAAAGCAACGUGAAAGAACGCAGUUGUACUUUUUAUUAUUAUUAUUAUUUCUGCUUCUACCAGACGAAGCUACGUUGUGAGACGGCGGGCGUAGAUUUAGUUUUUGGGAUAAAAUUGGUACGCGAGUUUAGGAGUGUGUGUUUGUGUUACUCACUUCUUUCUCCUGCUUUUUCUUCUUCUUUCGUUCUUUCAGGGUCCAAGAGCAGCCGAAGCGCGUUUGCCGUGAAGGCGAUCGUCCAUCGCUACACCUGGGACCGAGAGCUCCGUUCUGAAUCUUCUAAACCCUACAGAGAACACGAGAACUGCUGGAUGAAACUCUUUCUCCUCCGGAUUGAUUCUUUUUUUUGUGUUCGUAUUUCCUUUUUUUUUUUUUUUUUUUUUUCUCCUUUUUUUUUUUUCUUCUCCACCUAUCAUCAUAAUUUUUACACUACGUUAUUUUACACUACACUGGAUGACACUACAAACCGGGUCCAGAUUGAUUAAAUGAUCGUACGGGGGCUGGUGUGGAGUUUGCAGGUUUGAGUGGAGUUUUCACGGGAUUUCUGAAUUCCCUGGGAAUCUUUACGUGGAAAGAGAAGGCUUUCUGGGAUUUUUGGGAUCUACUUCUUCGGG